Molecule: long non-coding RNA, 1082 nt
Filed under: Numida meleagris (helmeted guineafowl)
Lineage: Eukaryota; Metazoa; Chordata; Aves; Galliformes; Numididae
Description: lncRNA (ENSNMEG00000011757.1)
Source: RNAcentral
CCCCACCGGGAAAAAAUUAAAAAUAAAUUAAAAUUAAAAAGGCACCCCCCCCGCCCCCACCCCCCCUUGCACACAGGCACACUCACACACGCACACACACACCUCGGCACCUGGGGGGUGGGGGGAAAUAAAAGGCAAAGAUGAGGAUCAGCUGAGUGACGGGGAGCACAGGACCUGCAGGCGAGGACCGGGGAGUUGUGUUAGAUCCGUGGCUGCAAGGACUGAGCGUGUGCAGGAACGAGAUGGUUUGAAAGGAGAAUACAUGGUAAGAAAUUGUGGCUGCUCAGGCUGGAGUCUGAAGCUCCGGUGUCCAAAAAAAAAAAAAAAAAAACCCAAAAAAACCCACAAAUAGGACCUCUUCCUUCGCGGGAGGGCUCGGGGGGCUGUGUGUGGCUGUGUGAGUGUGUUUUCCAGGCGGGUGGUGUUAAGAAGUGACAGAAGCUUCCUUCCCAAAAGCCCGGAGGGUCAGCACGAUGGUGGGGUGCUGGGAGGCGAUGGAAGUGCGGGUGGGGGCAAGUUCGGUGGCUCCGCGGUGGGGAGGCGAGGAGGAAGGGCCGCUCUGUGCUGUCGGUCUGUCUGUCUGUCUCUAUCUGUGUCUUACGGUACCGUUCACCGGCAGCUCACGGAGCGGCUGCACAGCGAGGGAGAGAAUCACCGUACAGGCAUAGAGGGAGAGAGAAACGCCGUCCUUACAGUGACACCAAAUGUCUUUAGGGGAAAUCUACAAUUAGAGGUGCAUAAGGUGCCUGAAGAGCAUGAGAAUGGCAAGUCGUGAGGGCCAGAAGACUGAGAAGAAGGCUUUCUCAGGACACAGAUGAGGAAGGAAUACACCAAGACAAACCCUCAGCUGUUGCAGAAGGCAGGUAGGCAGAGAAAGAGGAUCCAAAGAUAAAGACGAGGUCACAAGUCUUUAUUUGCUCAAGUCUCAUUUGCUGGGAAUGCAUGAGAAGUUGGAGGAGAAUGACUUUCCUCCAGUCCCAGUGACACAGGCUUCCUGAUCUUCUAGCUGCAGGAAGUAAAAGCUGAGGGCAGCAUGGCAGAAUCCUAAUAAAACAUUUUUGUGCACUUUUCUGUACCUUGGC